RNAcentral lists this ribosomal RNA (251 nucleotides) under uncultured prokaryote. Its description in RNAcentral is "partial 16S rRNA". It matches the Rfam family "Bacterial small subunit ribosomal RNA", at positions 525 to 775 of the family's 1533-position model. The record is from RNAcentral.
ACGGAGGAUGCAAGCGUUAUCCGGAUUCAUUGGGUUUAAAGGGUGCGCAGGCGGAAUGAUAAGUCAGUGGUGAAAUCCUACGGCUCAACUGUAGAACUGCCAUUGAUACUGUUAUUCUUGAGUACACUUGAAGUGGGCGGAAUGUGUCAUGUAGCGAUGAAAUGAUUGAAUAGGACGCGGAACCCCGGAGGCGAAGGCGUCUCAUCAGAUUAUAACUGAUAGUCAUGCACGAAAGCUUGGGGAUCAAACCU